GGGGCAGUAGCUCAGCUGGGAGAGCGCGACAAUCGCACUGUCGAGGCCACGGGUUCGAUCCCCGUCUGCUCCA
RNAcentral lists this transfer RNA (73 nucleotides) under Candidatus Omnitrophota bacterium. RNAcentral describes it as "Candidatus Omnitrophica bacterium (groundwater metagenome) tRNA-Ala". It matches the Rfam family "tRNA". From Rfam's summary of the family: Transfer RNA (tRNA) molecules are approximately 80 nucleotides in length. The record is from RNAcentral. Lineage: Bacteria; Pseudomonadati; Candidatus Omnitrophota.